RNAcentral lists this ribosomal RNA (423 nucleotides) under uncultured bacterium. Its description in RNAcentral is "bacterial SSU rRNA". It matches the Rfam family "Bacterial small subunit ribosomal RNA", at positions 207 to 622 of the family's 1533-position model. The record is from RNAcentral.
AAGACCUUGCGCUCUUGGAGCGGCCGAUGUCUGAUUAGCUUGUUGGCGAGGUAAAGGCUUACCAAGGCUUCGAUCAGUAGCUGGUCUGAGAGGACGGCCAGCCACACUGGGACUGAGACACGGCCCAGACUCCUACGGGAGGCAGCAGUGGGGAAUUUUGGACAAUGGGGGCAACCCUGAUCCAGCCAUGCCGCGUGAGUGAAGAAGGCCUUCGGGUUGUAAAGCUCUUUCAGCCGGAACGAAACGGUUACGGUUAAUACCCGUGACUACUGACGGUACCGGAAGAAGAAGCACCGGCUAACUACGUGCCAGCAGCCGCGGUAAUACGUAGGGUGCAAGCGUUAAUCGGAAUUACUGGGCGUAAAGCGUGCGCAGGUGGUUUUGUAAGUCAGAUGUGAAAUCCCCGGGCUUAACCUGGGAACU